RNAcentral lists this ribosomal RNA (253 nucleotides) under uncultured bacterium. RNAcentral's name for it is "partial 16S ribosomal RNA". It matches the Rfam family "Bacterial small subunit ribosomal RNA", at positions 524 to 776 of the family's 1533-position model. The record is from RNAcentral.
UACGAAGGGGGCUAGCGUUGCUCGGAAUCACUGGGCGUAAAGCGCACGUAGGCGGAUUGUUAAGUCAGGGGUGAAAUCCUGGAGCUCAACUCCAGAACUGCCUUUGAUACUGGCGAUCUUGAGUCCGGGAGAGGUGAGUGGAACUGCGAGUGUAGAGGUGAAAUUCGUAGAUAUUCGCAAGAACACCAGUGGCGAAGGCGGCUCACUGGCCCGGUACUGACGCUGAUGCACGAAAGCGUGGGGAGCAAACAGG